GAUGAACGCUGGCGGCGUGCCUAAUACAUGCAAGUCGAGCGAACAGACGAGAGUGCUUGCACUCUCUGACGUUAGCGGCGGACGGGUGAGUAACACGUGGGUAACCUACCUAUCAGACUGGGAUAACUUCGGGAAACCGGAGCUAAUACCGGAUAAUAUUUAGCUUCGCAUGAAGCAAUAGUGAAAGACGGUUCUGCUGUCACUUAUAGAUGGACCCGCGGUGUAUUAGCUAGUUGGUGAGGUAACGGCUCACCAAGGCAACGAUACAUAGCCGACCUGAGAGGGUGAUCGGCCACACUGGGACUGAGACACGGCCCAGACUCCUACGGGAGGCAGCAGUAGGGAAUCUUCCGCAAUGGACGAAAGUCUGACGGAGCAAUGCCGCGUGAGUGAAGAAGGUGUUCGGAUCGUAAAACUCUGUUGUAAGGGAAGAACAAGUACGUUAGUAACUGAACGUACCUUGACGGUACCUUACCAGAAAGCCACGGCUAACUACGUG
RNAcentral lists this ribosomal RNA (499 nucleotides) under uncultured bacterium. Its description in RNAcentral is "partial 16S ribosomal RNA". It matches the Rfam family "Bacterial small subunit ribosomal RNA", at positions 28 to 507 of the family's 1533-position model. The record is from RNAcentral.